UCUUGCCUGCGGUCAUCCGUGUCCGGUCGCCUGCUACAAAACGCCGUGCCCAUACCCGUGCCAGCUAUCGUGCCCAAUGUCCUGCCCUCACGGCCCGUGCCCGGCUGUAUGUGGCUAUCCAUGUCCACCUUGCGGAGAACCCUGCACGUGGUCGUGUCCGCACUAUCGUUGUGGUGCUUUGUGUUGCGAACCUUGUACGCGGCCUCCCUGCAACCAUCGCUGCGCGAGACUGCUGCCCUGUGGCCAUGCUUGUCUCGGAGCCUGCGGCGAGCCCUGUCCGACGCUAUGCAGUGUUUGCAAGCCGAAAGAGUACGAGGAAGCAGCGGGAACGUCCCUAAAUGUUCUCCUCGUAGCGCUCGGAGACUGCGGACAUUCUGUGCCCGAGGAAGAUUUGAGGAAAGCUUGCUCCACUGCCCCUGAGGAUGGCCCCCUUUUGUGCCCUAGAUGCUCGACGCCCGCCAGGCAUUGUCUGAGGUUCGGUCAACGUGUCAAGAAGUACAUCGCCAGGAUGAACAGACAAAAGCGAAAGGCUCUGCAUGAUAUCGGGAGUGAACAUUACGGUUAUGAAGCGGUUGCCAGACAACGCUCACUUGAUGACUACCUCCGUGGUCUCAUUGCAAAGAAGCAACCCUGCGACAAGUGACUUCAAUAGGCCCACUGAACAAACUGUCUUGUUUUUAUAUAGUAUUUGUUUUGGUUUCGAAACAUUGAGCGCUUCGUUGGGCUACUGUAGCCCUCAUUCAUUCGCGCUCGAGCCCCAGCACCGACUGCAGCGAUGUAUGAUGUGAAUUCGCGAUAAUCGCCCUCUUCUCUCCACUGAUCUCAAUGUCAUAACAAAAUCAGACUUGUGCAGAUAAAGAAUAUUUCAUAUCUCCCG
Long non-coding RNA from Ornithodoros turicata, 877 nucleotides. RefSeq lists it as uncharacterized. Lineage: Eukaryota; Metazoa; Arthropoda; Arachnida; Ixodida; Argasidae. The record is from RefSeq and is a predicted model, not a curated record. The transcript is spliced from 2 exons.